This 464-nucleotide ribosomal RNA is filed under the name uncultured bacterium. RNAcentral describes it as "partial 16S ribosomal RNA". It matches the Rfam family "Bacterial small subunit ribosomal RNA", at positions 339 to 795 of the family's 1533-position model. The record is from RNAcentral.
CUACGGGUGGCUCCAGUGGGGAAUAUUGCACAAUGGGCGCGAGCCUGAUGCAGCCAUGCCGCGUGUAUGAAGAAGGCCUUCGGGUUGUAAAGUACUUUCAGCGGGGAGGAAGGGAGUAAAGUUAAUACCUUUGCUCAUUGACGUUACCCGCAGAAGAAGCACCGGCUAACUCCGUGCCAGCAGCCGCGGUAAUACGGAGGGUGCAAGCGUUAAUCGGAAUUACUGGGCGUAAAGCGCACGCAGGCGGUUUGUUAAGUCAGAUGUGAAAUCCCCGGGCUCAACCUGGGAACUGCAUCUGAUACUGGCAAGCUUGAGUCUCGUAGAGGGGGGUAGAAUUCCAGGUGUAGCGGUGAAAUGCGUAGAGAUCUGGAGGAAUACCGGUGGCGAAGGCGGCCCCCUGGACGAAGACUGACGCUCAGGUGCGAAAGCGUGGGGAGCAAACAGGAUUAGAUACCCUAGUAGUC